This is a long non-coding RNA of Cyprinus carpio (common carp), 1079 nucleotides long. The record is from Ensembl. NCBI's taxonomy places the organism in Eukaryota, Metazoa, Chordata, Actinopteri, Cypriniformes, Cyprinidae.
UGUUGGAAAGCUGAUGGCAUGAAGUGACGCUGAUUCACGAAACACACAAUAUUCUUUCAACCUUGUCAUCUACUAUAAGAAUACCUCAAAACCAUCAACUAUAGAGGAGAAAGUACACUGCAUUAAUGCAUCUGUGAGGGAACACAAAAUCUGACCUGUUGACUUUGACCCAUAUGCGAAAUCAAUGCCCUGUACCAAACAGAUCACAAUGUUUCAUCAGAGAGAUGAAGUGGUGGUGUGAGGGAAAGUCAAGAUUGCAUAGAGCAUGAACAGGGAGAGAGAUACAGGGUGCAAAGAGGGGACACAGAAAGGUGCUGAUGUGUUCAGCAGUCUAAAUAGAUGGACCUGAGGCUAUUUAUAAAACCAUCUGCAGAAGGGCUCACAUAGGCCUCAUAGUGAAGGCCAGAGCUGAUAGAACACAUCUUUAGGAUUCAUGGAGGGGGUCAGAGGAAGACUCAAUGAAGGAAUAAUCAAAACACUAAAAUAUAUCUACCCAGCACUGGUUACAGAAAAGACAGGGUGGAAUUGAUGGUGCAACAGUGUGGACAGCUGGAAAGUUGGAGUCGGCUACACAUAUCUGAACUGAUCCAGUCAAUCCCAGAACAACCCUAACCUGACACCCGUCCCAUUGUACCUGUGUUUGUUUAACAUUUCACACUGCUCUUGUCCUAUUUAGAGUGGAGCAGAGCUGCUGCUCUGGUCGGAUCAUCUGAAGUGUUAUAAUAAUGCACGAUGAGGUCGGUAUAGUUCGCCAACAAAUGCUGACAUACACACAUGUGUAUGUCAACUUAUAAAUGCAACUUGAGGAGUGCAUAUUAUAUAACAGAAUGAAGAGAGUACACGAGUCACCAAAACAAACAAGUUUAUUCAAACAUGUAUAAACAGUCAUGUGUUGCUAUGUACAUCAAAACAACUGCUUGAGGUAGAGACAGUGUUUAUGUAUUCCACCCACAUCUGAUGAGUAUUAUUAAUCUACACCUCCUCAGUACCUAUUUGCCUCUACACAUGUUGAGUGAAUACUUAUAAGUUGCACCUGAGAAAAAAAUAAAUAAAUCAGAGUCCUGAAAAAAUAUAUAAUU